UACGUAGGGGGCAAGCGUUAUCCGGAUUUACUGGGUGUAAAGGGAGCGUAGACGGCCAAGCAAGUCUGAAGUGAAAGCCCGUGGCUCAACCGCGGAACUGCUUUGGAAACUGCCUGGCUAGAGUACUGGAGAGGCAAGCGGAAUUCCUAGUGUAGCGGUGAAAUGCGUAGAUAUUAGGAGGAACACCAGUGGCGAAGGCGGCUUGCUGGACAGAAACUGACGUUGAGGCUCGAAAGCGUGGGGAGCAAACAGG
Molecule: ribosomal RNA, 253 nt
Filed under: uncultured bacterium
Lineage: Bacteria
Description: partial 16S ribosomal RNA
Rfam family: Bacterial small subunit ribosomal RNA
Source: RNAcentral